Non-coding RNA from Pelobates cultripes (western spadefoot toad), 284 nucleotides. The record is from the annotation of a GenBank genome assembly. NCBI's taxonomy places the organism in Eukaryota, Metazoa, Chordata, Amphibia, Anura, Pelobatidae.
UUUUACCUUUUUGUCCAACCUUGCAAUUGGGGGGGGCAAAAAAAAUUCUUGCACCAGGGAUCUUUAUACUUUAGUUUUGCCACUGUUUAGGGGUCGAGGGUGUGAUUGUAUGUAAGGGAGUGGGAGGGGGGCCAUGGCCUAUAGGGCCCUAGAAAAUGCUUGCCCAGUGUCCAAUCGAUUUAUUAAAGACGACCCUGCGUGGUCCUAUGCCCAAAAUAGUUCCAGGGAAUUGGGGUUAGCGGUCGGCCUCUUUCGGGAGCACAAAGGUACAAAAAACACCUAAC